GAGUUUGAUUCUGGCUCAGAUUGAACGCUGGCGGCAGGGCCUAACACAUGGCAAGUCGAGCGGAUGACGGGAGCUUGCUCCUUGAUUCAGCGGCGGACGGGUGAGUAAUGCCUAGGAAUCUGCCUGGUAGUGGGGGGACAACGUUUCGAAAGGAACGCUAAUACCGCAUAUUCUGUGAGCAGGAAAGCGGGGGACCUUCGGGCCUCGCGCUCUUGGAGCGGCCGAUGUCGGAUUAGCUAGUUGGUGAGGUAAAGGCUCACCAAGGCGACGAUCCGUAGCAGGUCUGAGAGGAUGAUCUGCCACACUGGAACUGAGACACGGUCCAGACUCCUACGGGAGGCAGCAGUGGGAAUUUUGGACAAUGGGGGCAACCUGAUCCAGCCAUGCCGCGUGAGUGAAGAAGGCC
RNAcentral lists this ribosomal RNA (406 nucleotides) under bacterium enrichment culture clone ALO1_GLFRUDD03GE9FK. RNAcentral's name for it is "bacterial SSU rRNA". It matches the Rfam family "Bacterial small subunit ribosomal RNA", at positions 9 to 416 of the family's 1533-position model. The record is from RNAcentral.